Molecule: ribosomal RNA, 293 nt
Filed under: uncultured prokaryote
Description: partial 16S ribosomal RNA
Rfam family: Archaeal small subunit ribosomal RNA
Source: RNAcentral
GUGUCAGCAGCCGCGGUAAUACCGGCAGCCCGAGUGAUGGCCGAUUUUAUUGGGCCUAAAGCGACCGUAGCUGGCCGCGCAAGUCUAUCAGUAAAUCCACCCGCUCAACGGGUGGGCGUCCGGUAGAAACUGCGUGGCUUGGGACCGGAAGGCGCGACGGGUACGUCCGGGGUAGGAGUGAAAUCCCGUAAUCCUGGACGGACCGCCGAUGGCGAAAGCACGUCGCGAGGACGGAUCCGACAGUGAGGGACGAAAGCCAGGGUCUCGAACCGGAUUAGAAACCCCUGUAGUCC